This 464-nucleotide ribosomal RNA is filed under the name uncultured Acidimicrobiales bacterium. RNAcentral describes it as "bacterial SSU rRNA". It matches the Rfam family "Bacterial small subunit ribosomal RNA", at positions 28 to 505 of the family's 1533-position model. Lineage: Bacteria; Bacillati; Actinomycetota; Acidimicrobiia; Acidimicrobiales. The record is from RNAcentral.
GACGAACGCUAGCGGCGCGCCUAACACAUGCAAGUCGAACGAGGUCCAUGAGAGCUUGCUCUCGGACGACCUAGUGGCGAACGGGUGAGUAACACGUGAGGAACUUGCCCCAGACUCGGGGAUAACCCAGGGAAACUUGGGCUAAUACCGGAUACCCUCUUUGGACCGCAUGGUCCGCUGAGGAAAGAAUUUCGGUCUGGGAGAGCCUCGCGACCUAUCAGCUAGUUGGUGAGGUAACGGCUCACCAAGGCAACGACGGGUAGCUGGUCUGAGAGGACGAUCAGCCACACUGGGACUGAGACACGGCCCAGACUCCUACGGGAGGCAGCAGUGGGGAAUCUUGCGCAAUGGGCGAAAGCCUGACGCAGCGACGCCGCGUGCGGGAUGACGGCCUUAGGGUUGUAAACCGCUUUCGGCAGGGACGAAAAUGACGGUACCUGCAGAAGAAGCCCCGGCUAACUACG